This 200-nucleotide ribosomal RNA is filed under the name uncultured bacterium. Its description in RNAcentral is "partial 16S ribosomal RNA". It matches the Rfam family "Bacterial small subunit ribosomal RNA", at positions 524 to 723 of the family's 1533-position model. The record is from RNAcentral.
UACGUAGGGAGCAAGCGUUGUUCGGAUUUACUGGGCGUAAAGGGCGCGUAGGCGGCGUGUUAAGUCAGCUGUGAAAUCUCUGAGCUCAACUCAGAACGGCCAGCUGAUACUGAUGUGCUAGAGUGCAGAAGGGGCAACCGGAAUUCUUGGUGUAGCGGUGAAAUGCGUAGAUAUCAAGAGGAACACCUGAGGCGAAGGCG